Molecule: ribosomal RNA, 450 nt
Filed under: uncultured bacterium
Lineage: Bacteria
Description: partial 16S ribosomal RNA
Rfam family: Bacterial small subunit ribosomal RNA
Source: RNAcentral
GUGGGGAAUAUUGGACAAUGGACGAAAGUCUGACGGAGCAACGCCGCGUGAGUGAUGAAGGUUUUCGGACUGUAAAGCUCUGUUGUUUAGGACGAAAGUGCCUGUUGCAAAUAGUUACAGGUAUUGACGGUACUGAACGAGGAAGCCACGGCUAACUACGUGCCAGCAGCCGCGGUAAUACGUAGGUGGCAAGCGUUGUCCGGAAUUAUUGGGCGUAAAGAGCAUGUAGGCGGGAAUCUAAGUCUGUUGUGAAAAUGCGGGGCUCAACCCCGUAUUGCGAUGGAAACUGGGUUUCUUGAGUGCAGGAGAGGAAAGGGGAAUUCCCAGUGUAGCGGUGAAAUGCGUAGAUAUUGGGAGGAACACCAGUGGCGAAGGCGCCUUUCUGGACUGUGUCUGACGCUGAGAUGCGAAAGCCAGGGUAGCGAACGGGAUUAGAAACCCGAGUAGUCC